AUGGACCAACCUCUGUUGGUGAGAAAAACAAGCUUUCCAGCUUACACGGUGCUCUUCUUCAGGUUUGGGAAAUGCAACAGAGAAGUGGGAGCCAGUGGAGGGAUUCAGAGAGAGGGGUGACAUGGUUCUGGCAAUGAGCUAGGAACAUUAUCUUUGCAGCAGCAUUCUGAAUGGGUAUGGGUGGGGGAAGAUUGCAUUUUUCAGUGUGGCUGGAUAGGAAAGGCAUAUCUUAGAGAUGUUAUGGAGAAAGAAUCCGCAAUAUUUAGGUAUCUUUUGGAUAUGAGGACCUAGAGAAAGGUUCAAGUCAGGCUAUGGGCCUGAGUGAUAGGCAGGGGGGUGGUGGUGGUCAAAGUGAUCAAGAAAGGAGGUGGUGAAAUUUCCACGACUGAGGCAUUAGCAUUUCAUGUUUUCCUGACCAUGUCAGGUACGUUGUUUCUGUGAAUUGUCUUACUAACCCCUGUACAGACUGAACAUUGAAACUCAACAAGCUAACAUGGUAAAUUUGCUUAAUCUACUUUAGGGUUUCAAUGCUUGUGUUAAUACACCUUUAUUCCUAGUGUAGACAUAUCCCUAGCAUAGAUGGACCAUCAACAUUUUAAGCAAUGUCAUCUAAUUGCUCAGAGCAAGGCUGAUUGACAAGGUGCCUAAAAGGUUAGUAGAUUCUGUGCGCUUCCCAGUGUUGUAAAUGCUGGUGGAACUGAACUGGUAUUGUUAAUAGAAGAAAUAGUCUGUCAGACCUUCUCUAGUGUAAACAAGGCUUAUUGUAGGAGAUAGCACUUGGCUAGCAGGAACUGUGCUCUGUGUCAGUCAAAAUAGUGUUUUAAUUGUAGCGUUUUCAUGACGCAACUGUAACAAAGUCCCUAUGGGAGGAUUGUAAGACAAGAACGGUAGCAAUGUGUGGAGAACUCUUGAAUUUGAGGGAGGAAUGUGGUGUGGUUUUUCUUCCUAUCUCAUCCUACAAUUUAAUACAGAUUUUGCUAUGAGAUGCAAUGAAAGGUUAAAGAUAUUCAGUAGUUUAAUAAACAGCUGCUUUUCUUUCUAGGUCAAGGUUUAUCAAAAACUCAGAUUCAUUUAAGCUUCAUAAAUUUGACACUGAGCGUUGUCUACAUGUCACUUUUUUACUGAGAUUAAUAGUAUGUUUCUGUGCCAAAAUCAAAAAUAUUCAGUUACAUUCAUAUCCCUAUAGAAACUUCUCCCAAAAUGAACAAAAAAAACCCCCACCACCA
Molecule: non-coding RNA, 1226 nt
Organism: Chrysemys picta bellii (western painted turtle)
Lineage: Eukaryota; Metazoa; Chordata; Testudines; Emydidae
Source: RefSeq, a predicted model, not a curated record